Molecule: ribosomal RNA, 497 nt
Filed under: uncultured bacterium
Lineage: Bacteria
Description: partial 16S ribosomal RNA
Rfam family: Bacterial small subunit ribosomal RNA
Source: RNAcentral
GAUGAACGCUGGCGGCGUGCCUAAUACAUGCAAGUCGAGCGAACAGACGAGGAGCUUGCUCCUUUGACGUUAGCGGCGGACGGGUGAGUAACACGUGGAUAACCUACCUAUAAGACUGGGAUAACUUCGGGAAACCGGAGCUAAUACCGGAUAACAUGUUGAACCGCAUGGUUCAACAGUGAAAGACGGUCUUGCUGUCACUUAUAGAUGGAUCCGCGCCGCAUUAGCUAGUUGGUAAGGUAACGGCUUACCAAGGCAACGAUGCGUAGCCGACCUGAGAGGGUGAUCGGCCACACUGGAACUGAGACACAGUCCAGACUCCUACGGGAGGCAGCAGUAGGGAAUCUUCCGCAAUGGGCGAAAGCCUGACGGAGCAACGCCGCGUGAGUGAAGAAGGUCUUCGGAUCGUAAAACUCUGUUAUUAGGGAAGAACAAAUGUGUAAGUAACUAUGCACGUCUUGACGGUACCUAAUCAGAAAGCCACGGCUAACUACGUG